CCUACGGGUGGCAGCAGUGGGGAAUAUUGGACAAUGGGGGGAACCCUGAUCCAGCCAUGCCGCGUGUGUGAAGAAGGCCCUCGGGUUGUAAAGCACUUUCAGUGAGGAAGAACGCCUGGUGGUUAAUACCCAUCAGGAAAGACAUCACUCACAGAAGAAGCACCGGCUAACUCCGUGCACAGCAGCCGCGGUAAUACGGAGGGUGCGAGCGUUAAUCGGAAUUACUGGGCGUAAAGCGCGCGUAGGUGGCUUGAUAAGCCGGUUGUGAAAGCCCCGGGCUCAACCUGGGAACGGCAUCCGGAACUGUCAAGCUAGAGUGCAGGAGAGGAAGGUAGAAUUCCCGGUGUAGCGGUGAAAUGCGUAGAGAUCGGGAGGAAUACCAGUGGCGAAGGCGGCCUUCUGGACUGACACUGACACUGAGGUGCGAAAGCGUGGGUAGCAAACAGGAUUAGAUACCCGAGUAGUC
This 466-nucleotide ribosomal RNA is filed under the name Vreelandella stevensii. Its description in RNAcentral is "partial 16S ribosomal RNA". It matches the Rfam family "Bacterial small subunit ribosomal RNA", at positions 338 to 795 of the family's 1533-position model. Lineage: Bacteria; Pseudomonadati; Pseudomonadota; Gammaproteobacteria; Oceanospirillales; Halomonadaceae. The record is from RNAcentral.